AGCUUUGCACAGUGGCCGUAUCAUAGCCAGUGAGGUUUAUCCCAGGCAUGAUUAUUGCUAAUUGAAAACUCUUUCCAAAAAUGGAUCCAAGAUGAAACCAAUUUAUUUCCAUCUUGAAUCACCAUGAUGGAGUUUCUAGAUAUAA
This is a small nuclear RNA of Fukomys damarensis (Damara mole-rat), 145 nucleotides long. Its record names the gene U4. It matches the Rfam family "U4 spliceosomal RNA". From Rfam's summary of the family: U4 small nuclear RNA (U4 snRNA) is a component of the major U2-dependent spliceosome. The structure of U4 snRNA from yeast and human has been reported. The record is from Ensembl. NCBI's taxonomy places the organism in Eukaryota, Metazoa, Chordata, Mammalia, Rodentia, Bathyergidae.